This 73-nucleotide transfer RNA is filed under the name Salmo salar (Atlantic salmon). It matches the Rfam family "tRNA". Rfam says of the family: Transfer RNA (tRNA) molecules are approximately 80 nucleotides in length. Their secondary structure includes four short double-helical elements and three loops (D, anti-codon, and T loops). Further hydrogen bonds mediate the characteristic L-shaped molecular structure. tRNAs have two regions of fundamental functional importance: the anti-codon, which is responsible for specific mRNA codon recognition, and the 3' end, to which the tRNAs corresponding amino acid is attached (by aminoacyl-tRNA synthetases). tRNAs cope with the degeneracy of the genetic code in two manners: having more than one tRNA (with a specific anti-codon) for a particular amino acid; and 'wobble' base-pairing, i.e. permitting non-standard base-pairing at the 3rd anti-codon position. The record is from Rfam by way of RNAcentral. Lineage: Eukaryota; Metazoa; Chordata; Actinopteri; Salmoniformes; Salmonidae.
ACCUCUCAGGCUCAGUUGGUAGAGCAUGGUGUUUGCAACGCCAGGAUUGUGGGUUCGAUUCCCAUGGGGGGCC